Molecule: long non-coding RNA, 286 nt
Filed under: Homo sapiens (human)
Lineage: Eukaryota; Metazoa; Chordata; Mammalia; Primates; Hominidae
Description: non-protein coding lnc-FOXJ1-2:1
Source: RNAcentral
GGAGCACCUUUCUCAAGGACAAGAAAUGGUAGCAACCAAAAGGUUGGUUGAAGGAAACAAUCCUUCCUUCUGGUGGUGUGAUCCCGGCUUCCUCACAGAGCCCUUUUUUCCUUCUGCCCAGCUCCAUCCCACCAGAGUUUCUACCCCCGCUGAGGCAUCUCCUGGGCACAGACCACCACACUCUAAGCCGGCUGGCCUGGGAGUUAGGGUCCUGCCCACCUCACCUGGGAGUUGGGGUCCUGCCCACCUGGAGUUUAGCACGCUGGUCGCUCACUUUGCUUUGGUC